UUGUGAUCUCAUGCAACUAGUAUAUAUUGUSCUKAUAACUCCSNUWUAUANAKAAAGUUACUUUUUGAMGGACAUKGGGGGGUCGUGAAGACAUUUAUCAGUGAGUUUUUGUUCUCGGAAGGACUAGAUAUGAAUAUUGAAUAAUCAGACAUAGUACGAAAAGGUUGUAUGUCUAAAGGGAAACNGCCCAGAACAAGAGUUAAUAAGGUUCCAAAAUUAUUGUUAAGUGAAAUUAAGGCAGUAUUUAUUCCAAACAGCCAGGCAAUAGGCUUAGAAGCGGCCAUUUUCUGAAGACCUCGNAACAGAGCACUGGUUUUAUUUAUAAUAAGGGUAAAAGCACCGAUAAUUUAACGGAUCUAAACAAUAUACCGAGACCUUGNCUNAAUAUAUUAAUGUUMACAUAUAUUACAUUGCAUAUUUAGGGUAGCAGAACGUUGGUGAAGUUNGUNCANUAUCCCCUUUAUAAGGGNANA
Molecule: ribosomal RNA, 473 nt
Filed under: Myelochroa leucotyliza
Lineage: Eukaryota; Fungi; Ascomycota; Lecanoromycetes; Lecanorales; Parmeliaceae
Description: partial large subunit ribosomal RNA
Rfam family: Bacterial large subunit ribosomal RNA (bases 67-426)
Source: RNAcentral